AACAAGCCCUAGAAAUCACAUCUGCAGAAAAGCUCCUCAGGUCUUCAUCCACCGCUAUCUCCGCCAUUUCCCCGCCUUGCGCUUCAAUCGCCUCGUCCCAUUUUCUUGCCAAUAGCUCCGCCGAUUCCAGCAUCAGGUACCUUGACUUUGUCCAUGAAGAAUUCUGGUGCUAUAAUCUUCCUCUGAAGUGCCCACAUAUGGCCAUUUGACCUCAAAAGUCCAUUCCCAAGCAUGGGGGAAAGUCUCUUGGUGACAUAAGAUGGCUUCCCCAACUCCAUACUACUCUUCUGGUUCAUCUCCUUUACCAAUUCUGCCUUGUUCACAUACAAAUGCUGCUUGUUCCCUGUUGAAUAUGUAUAUAUGCAACCUGUAACAACAAACAAUUAAACUUUUGACAUGAACGAAUCCCGAUCACCUCCUCCACAGGUGGGGUUCUCGGGAUUCAGGUGCAAUUCUUUUAA
Molecule: long non-coding RNA, 461 nt
Organism: Ipomoea triloba (trilobed morning glory)
Lineage: Eukaryota; Viridiplantae; Streptophyta; Magnoliopsida; Solanales; Convolvulaceae
Exons: 2
Source: RefSeq, a predicted model, not a curated record